GCAUUAGUAGCUCAACGUCAGAGCCCCGGCCUUGUAAGCCGGCCGCCGGAGGUUAGAAUCCUCCCUAAUGCU
RNAcentral lists this transfer RNA (72 nucleotides) under Priolepis latifascima. RNAcentral's name for it is "tRNA-Thr". It matches the Rfam family "tRNA". Rfam says of the family: Transfer RNA (tRNA) molecules are approximately 80 nucleotides in length. Lineage: Eukaryota; Metazoa; Chordata; Actinopteri; Gobiiformes; Gobiidae. The record is from RNAcentral.